This 756-nucleotide ribosomal RNA is filed under the name uncultured bacterium. Its description in RNAcentral is "bacterial SSU rRNA". It matches the Rfam family "Bacterial small subunit ribosomal RNA", at positions 163 to 916 of the family's 1533-position model. The record is from RNAcentral.
CUAAACCCGCGUACAUGCCACCGGGGCAUCCCGGAGGCAGGAAAGGCUUCGGCCGGACAGGGAUGGGCAUGCGGCGCAUUAGGCAGUAGGCGGGGUAACGGCCCACCUAACCGACGAUGCGUAGGGGUUCUGAGAGGAAGGUCCCCCACACUGGUACUGAGACACGGACCAGACUCCUACGGGAGGCAGCAGUGAGGAAUAUUGGUCAAUGGUCGGGAGACUGAACCAGCCAAGCCGCGUGAGGGAUGAAGGUACAGAGUAUCGUAAACCUCUUUUGUCAGGGAACAAAGGCGGGGACGCGUCCCCGGAUGAGUGUACCUGAAGAAAAAGCAUCGGCUAACUCCGUGCCAGCAGCCGCGGUAAUACGGAGGAUGCGAGCGUUAUCCGGAUUUAUUGGGUUUAAAGGGUGCGCAGGCGGUCUGUUAAGUCAGCGGUCAAAGCCCGGGGCUCAACCCCGGCCCGCCGUUGAAACUGGCAGUCUCGAGUUGGAGAGAAGUAUGCGGAAUGCGCGGUGUAGCGGUGAAAUGCAUAGAUAUCGCGCAGAACUCCGAUUGCGAAGGCAGCAUGCCGGCUCCACACUGACGCUGAGGCACGAAAGCGUGGGUAUCGAGCAGGAUUAGAUACCCUGGUAGUCCACGCAGUAAACGAUGAAUGCUGGCUGUCCGGGGGGACUGACCCCUGGGUGGCGAAGCGAAAGCGAUAAGCAUUCCACCUGGGGAGUACGCCGGCAACGGUGAAACUCAAAGGAAUUGACGG